GGCGAAGGAUGCAAGCGUUAUCCGGAUUCAUUGGGUUUAAAGGGAGCGUAGGUGGCCUUAUAAGUCAGUGGUGAAAUCUCUCGGCUUAACCGAGAAAUUGCCAUUGAUACUGUAGGGCUUGAGUAUAGUUGCCGUUGGCGGAAUAUGACAUGUAGUGGUGAAAUACAUAGAGAUGUCAUAGAACACCGAUUGCGAAGGCAGCUGACGAAACUAUAACUGACACUGAGGCUCGAAAGUGCGGGGAUCAAACAGG
Molecule: ribosomal RNA, 253 nt
Filed under: uncultured bacterium
Lineage: Bacteria
Description: partial 16S ribosomal RNA
Rfam family: Bacterial small subunit ribosomal RNA
Source: RNAcentral